AGUGAACGCUGGCGGUAGGCCUAACACAUGCAAGUCGAACGGCAGCACAGUAAGAGCUUGCUCUUACGGGUGGCGAGUGGCGGACGGGUGAGGAAUACAUCGGAAUCUACUUUUUCGUGGGGGAUAACGUAGGGAAACUUACGCUCAUACCGCAUACGACCUACGGGUGAAAGCAGUGGAUCUUCGGACCUUGCGCGAUUGAAUGAGCCGAUGUCGGAUUAGCUAGUUGGCGGGGUAAAGGCCCACCAAGGCGACGAUCCGUAGCUGGUCUGAGAGGAUGAUCAGCCACACUGGAACUGAGACACGGUCCAGACUCCUACGGGAGGCAGCAGUGGGGAAUAUUGGACAAUAGGCGCAAGCCUGAUCCAGCCAUACCGCGUGGGUGAAGAAGGCCUUCGGGUUGUAAAGCCCUUUUGUUGGGAAAGAAAAGCAGCAGGUUAAUACCCCGCUGUUCUGACGGUACCCAAAGAAUAAGCACCGGCUAACUUCGUG
Molecule: ribosomal RNA, 492 nt
Filed under: uncultured bacterium
Lineage: Bacteria
Description: partial 16S ribosomal RNA
Rfam family: Bacterial small subunit ribosomal RNA
Source: RNAcentral